AGCUCGGUCUGAGGCCCCUCAGUAAUU
Molecule: non-coding RNA, 27 nt
Filed under: Bos taurus (domestic cattle)
Lineage: Eukaryota; Metazoa; Chordata; Mammalia; Artiodactyla; Bovidae
Also listed under: 2 other names
Source: RNAcentral